This 554-nucleotide ribosomal RNA is filed under the name Trametes sanguinea. RNAcentral's name for it is "SSU rRNA". It matches the Rfam family "Bacterial small subunit ribosomal RNA", at positions 395 to 966 of the family's 1533-position model. Lineage: Eukaryota; Fungi; Basidiomycota; Agaricomycetes; Polyporales; Polyporaceae. The record is from RNAcentral.
CCCCCCGGGGGUGAACUAGCCUAACUGAAUCAUAGAGUUUAUUUAAACUCAUGAUGUCGUAAGGGAAAAUAAUGAUAAUACCUUACUAAUAGUGUCGUCCAAAUCUGGUGCCAGAAGACUCGGUAAGACCAGAGACGCAAACGUUAAUCAUCUUAAACAGGCGUAAAGGGUUUGUAGGCAGCUUUCAGAAGUACUAUAAUUAAGCAAAUAAAGUAGUCUAAUUGGAAGCUAGAAUCAAAUGGAGGUUAUAGUGUAUAACGCUUAGAGGAGGGCUGAUAUCCUUAGAUCCUAAGCAGAAUACUCAGGGCGAAGGCCACUUUCCACUAAUGAUUGACGCUGAGAAACGAAGGUUAGGGUAGGAAAUAGGAUUAGAUACCCCGGUACCCCUUUCUGUAAACGAUGAAUGGUAGUCAUUAGUUUAGAAAAACUAGAGGCGAAGUUAACGCGAUAACCAUUCCGCCUUGUGAGUACUACUGCAAAGUAGAAAACAAAAAAAUUAGUCGGUCUCGAAGCAAACGGAGUGAAGCAUGUUAUUUAAUUCGAUAAAUCCGCAA